UACGUAGGGGGCAAGCGUUAUCCGGAUUUACUGGGUGUAAAGGGAGCGUAGACGGAUGGACAAGUCUGAUGUGAAAGGCUGGGGCUCAACCCCGGGACUGCAUUGGAAACUGCCCGUCUUGAGUGCCGGAGAGGUAAGCGGAAUUCCUAGUGUAGCGGUGAAAUGCGUAGAUAUUAGGAGGAACACCAGUGGCGAAGGCGGCUUACUGGGCGGUAACUGACGUUGAGGCUCGAAAGCGUGGGGAGCAAACAGG
RNAcentral lists this ribosomal RNA (253 nucleotides) under Blautia luti. Its description in RNAcentral is "partial 16S ribosomal RNA". It matches the Rfam family "Bacterial small subunit ribosomal RNA", at positions 524 to 776 of the family's 1533-position model. The record is from RNAcentral. Lineage: Bacteria; Bacillati; Bacillota; Clostridia; Lachnospirales; Lachnospiraceae.